AUUAAGGUCCUCUGGAUUGUAAACUUCUUUUAUCUGGGACGAAAAAAGGUCUUUCUAGAUCACUUGACGGUACCAGAUGAAUAAGCACCGGCUAACUCCGUGCCAGCAGCCGCGGUAAUACGGAGGGUGCAAGCGUUAUCCGGAUUCACUGGGUUUAAAGGGUGCGUAGGCGGGUAGGUAAGUCAGUGGUGAAAUCCUGGAGCUCAACUCCAGAACUGCCAUUGAUACUAUCUAUCUUGAAUAUUGUGGAGGUAAGCGGAAUAUGUCAUGUAGCGGUGAAAUGCUUAGAUAUGACAUAGAACACCCAUUGCGAAGGCAGCUUACUACGCAUAUAUUGACGC
This 341-nucleotide ribosomal RNA is filed under the name uncultured Sediminibacterium sp. RNAcentral describes it as "bacterial SSU rRNA". It matches the Rfam family "Bacterial small subunit ribosomal RNA", at positions 408 to 746 of the family's 1533-position model. The record is from RNAcentral. Lineage: Bacteria; Pseudomonadati; Bacteroidota; Chitinophagia; Chitinophagales; Chitinophagaceae.